AAACUUAAAGAAAUUGACGGAAGGGCACCACCAGGAGUGGAGCCUGUGGCUUAAUUUGACUCAACACGGGAAAUCUCACCAGGCCCGGACACUGGAAGGAUUGACAGAUUGAUGGCUCUUUCUUGAUUCGGUGGGUGGUGGUGCAUGGCCGUUCUUAGUUGGUGGAGUGAUUUGUCUGGUUAAUUCCGAUAACGAACGAGACUCUGUCCUGCUAAAUAGUGUCUGCUUCUCUUUUGAGCAGACAAUUCUUCUUAGAGGGACUGGCGACUCUUAGUCGCACGAGAUUGAGCAAUAACAGGUCUGUGAUGCCCUUAG
Molecule: ribosomal RNA, 315 nt
Filed under: Crustacea environmental sample
Lineage: Eukaryota; Metazoa; Arthropoda
Description: SSU rRNA
Rfam family: Eukaryotic small subunit ribosomal RNA
Source: RNAcentral